UAAGGUUUUAUCUUAAUUAAAGUGUCUGGGUUGCCUUCAAAUAUGUAAGAUAAAGUCUUGCAAAUCUUA
RNAcentral lists this transfer RNA (69 nucleotides) under Desmognathus fuscus (dusky salamander). RNAcentral's name for it is "tRNA-Ala". Lineage: Eukaryota; Metazoa; Chordata; Amphibia; Caudata; Plethodontidae. The record is from RNAcentral.